UCCAGGCUCUCGCGGACGCGCGCAAGCCGGGCAGCUACCCACGCGUUGAGUCCGCCGCGGCUCCCAGGGGAGAGAAAUGGGAUGCAGACAGAAGUACCGAGCUCAGGAAGGGGGAAUGGAUCUCAGGCAGAGAUCCCCUCGCGCUGAGACCGUCGCUCCUGAGUCUUCGCUUGGGAUUCCCUCCCUCAGGACCACAUGGCGAGUCCCUGACACCGCAGACGGACUAGCCCCACCAGUCUGGUCUGGGGCCCCAAGAGAGGGGCACUUGCCGACUGCAAGGAGGACGGCGAAAGGACGAGGGAGCAUGGUAAGGCCGCCAAAAACAGAGAUAAGGAAGACAAAUCCCCUCACACUUGCUGUGUAGCGAAAGAGGCGCCGGCCGAAAACCGGCUCAGAUGCAGCGUGGGGCGGGAGUCAGCGCGUGCUGGGGCUUUGGCCUUUUCCUCUGCAGUCAGGCCGCGUCAUCGCCACGGCGAUCCCCAUCAGCCAGCCCUGCCUCUGAGCACCUGUCAAGAGCCACCUGCGAAGGCUCCACGUGACGCCGACUCGGAAGCCGCGGGCCUCCCACGCCGCUGCAGGAGGGGUCUCGCACGCCCGCCGCCCGCAGCCGCCAGGCGCCCCUCCCGGGCCCACUGGCCACAGCCCGCCGGCCCGCAGUCCUCCAGCCGCAGGCGUGGACUCAAACACUCGGAUGGCAGUGCCGGACUCCCGGGAGGGCCAGAUCUCAGAGCCUGGGGGUGGUGAGCAGAAAAGAACGGUUUUCGGUUUC
Molecule: non-coding RNA, 769 nt
Organism: Microcebus murinus (gray mouse lemur)
Lineage: Eukaryota; Metazoa; Chordata; Mammalia; Primates; Cheirogaleidae
Source: RefSeq, a predicted model, not a curated record